UACGUAGGGGGCAAGCGUUGUCCGGAUUUAUUGGGCGUAAAGAGCGUGUAGGCGGCCAAGCAGGUCCGUUGUGAAAACUGGAGGCUUAACCUCCAGACGUCGACGGAAACCGCGUGGCUAGAGUCCGGAAGAGGAGAGUGGAAUUCCUGGUGUAGCGGUGAAAUGCGCAGAUGUCAGGAAGAACACCAAUGGCGAAGGCAGCUCUCUGGGACGGUACUGACGCUGAGACGCGAAAGCGUGGGGAGCGAACAGG
Molecule: ribosomal RNA, 253 nt
Filed under: uncultured bacterium
Lineage: Bacteria
Description: partial 16S ribosomal RNA
Rfam family: Bacterial small subunit ribosomal RNA
Source: RNAcentral